Molecule: long non-coding RNA, 1050 nt
Filed under: Amborella trichopoda
Lineage: Eukaryota; Viridiplantae; Streptophyta; Magnoliopsida; Amborellales; Amborellaceae
Description: long non-coding RNA (ATRI_LNC002094)
Source: RNAcentral
CAGAUGUAUACGUGGGAAUGACUACGUGAUCAGUUGUUCGUUUGACUCCUUAUAAUUGGAAGUCUGAAGAUGUUGUAAGUAUUGAUGGAGAAGGAAGUAUUAUAACAUCGGGAGUGGUAUGACAAGAUUUUCUAGCAGGUACUAAUGGGUUUUUAUUUCUUUUCCUAUUAAUAACUAUAUCAUCCUGUACUAUAGGCUGUUGCAAUUUUAUUUCAAUAUUUCCAUCCUGAUGUUCUAUUAUUUGAUUGGGAAUAUUAUUCACAGGUACUUCCCUGGGCUGGUUUGCAUUUUGUAAUGCUCAUGAUUGAGGUAAAAUAAUGUUGGACCAAGUAAUGGUUUUAGGUAUAAUAGUAUUUGAUUUUUCUAUAUUAGUUUGGAAUAAUAUAGUUUGAUCCUUCUUAUCUGUUUGCAUAAUAUUAGGACAUAGAGUAUUCAUUACUUUGUAAUAAAUUCUAUAUACUAUUGCUAAAUUUUGAGAACCAUGUGUCAUAUUAAAUCCAUGAGUUUUCAAAUUUAUAGUUAAUAUAUCUAAGAUAUUUGAGUCGGUUAAUGAAACAGAAAAAUUUGGAGAACAAUUAAAAUAAAUGGGUCACUACAUAGACUGGAUUCAACCAUGCCUAGGAGUGAGGCCGAAAACUUAUUGUGUCUUAUAUCUCUUAGGCAUACAAGCACUGAGGUGUUUAACCCUAGACGAGUUAAUGGUUUAAUGACUAUUUGUAUUAAUCUAAUGUGUAAAUACUUAUAAUUAUUUUCUUUAUGUUUUUCAAUAAUUUUUCUUGAUAAUAGUUGAAAGUCUUCUUGGUUUUGAGUUACUGAUAGACUUUCUUCUACUGUUUUUAUAGCAUAACCUAAUUUGAAUUUGAAUCUUCCUUUUUGAUAAAUAUAUUUUAUCGAUACUUUGGGAAUAUUCCAAUUUUGUAUAUGAUGUUCAAUAUCAUUUAUGAUGAUCUCUUCCUUAUUUUUAACUCUUAAGGUUUGAGAUUGAGUUGUUGUAUUACCUUUAAGAUUCCUAAUUAAAUUUGCCAUCUGUAGGUUGCGGAUAAUGACAAU